This 251-nucleotide ribosomal RNA is filed under the name uncultured bacterium. RNAcentral's name for it is "partial 16S ribosomal RNA". It matches the Rfam family "Bacterial small subunit ribosomal RNA", at positions 1234 to 1500 of the family's 1533-position model. The record is from RNAcentral.
CUGGUACAAUGCGAAGCGAAGCAGUGAUGUGAAGCAAAUCGCACCAAAGCCAGUCCCAGUUCGGAUAAGAGGCUGAAACUCGCCUCUUUGAAGUCGGAAUCGCUAGUAAUCGCAGAUCAGCAUGUUGCGGUGAAUACGUUCCCGGGUCUUGUACACACCGCCCGUCAAACCAUGAGAGUCACCAACACCCGAAGUCCGCCUUGGCGGCCUAAGGUGGGGAGAUGAUUGGGGUUAAGUCGUAACAAGGUAUC